Molecule: ribosomal RNA, 2949 nt
Filed under: Triticum aestivum (bread wheat)
Lineage: Eukaryota; Viridiplantae; Streptophyta; Magnoliopsida; Poales; Poaceae
Description: partial small subunit ribosomal RNA
Source: RNAcentral
CCUAUUUGGUUAGUAUUUGGGUGUUAAGUAAACUAGGGUUGUUUGUGUGCCGUUUUUCCUAAUGUAGCUUGUCUUGAGGUUCUUGUAGCUCCUCUUGUAACAUAACUUCUAGUUUCUCUCUCUUGUUCAGUAGAUCGAUGAUCGAUACCUGGGCAUCCAGACACCAUUUGAUGAGUGUGUAGUAGCCUCCCCGUCGUUCCAACUACACCUUCGGGAAGCACUAGUUAAGGGGGAGUCCGCCUCACGGCCUUUUCCGGAGGCCUACCCUAGAGCGCUCUUGUCUUCGAACACCGCUGCCUUUUUCAUAAAACCCACCGAGAGACAACCAAAGGGCUAAAAUCUCUUAAAUAUCUCGAUCUUAAUCCAGUUUGUCUCCUUGUUCCCCGGGUACUCCGUGGUCCCGCGCGGAUGGACCACCGAGCACCGGGUGAGGAAGCGGAAGACCAGAGGAGUGCUUCGAAGAUCACAGAGAAUACAGGUCCUUUUUUAGCAGUUUUUCAAAGUACCGUAAACCUGAAGCAAACCGUAACUAAAGGACCUUUUGGUUUUUGUCCGUUUUCUUAUCGUUGACCGUGAACCAUGAUUCAAUUAUCCAAUCAGGAUUUUUUACUAUAUAUUAACGUAUUAUUUGUAGGUUUUAACUAUAAUAUUAUCGUACUUUGUUAUUUUUUUUAAUAUCUACGCAACCUCUGCAUAGUUUAUCAACGUACGUACAGUGCGCUCUUCCCUCUCCGGUAUUUGUACGAGGGCGCGGUGGUUUGCCUUACUGGUUUCCCGGUAGACUUCGGUGGUUUCUCGGGAAGCCUCGUCCUUUCUGCCGUUGGUCGAUGUGUAGGUACGCUCUCCUUUUUCCGGUCUCUGUACGAGGUCGUUGCGGUCCGUCUUGUACGUUUCCCCGUAGAUCUCCGUUGUUUAUCGGGUAUUCUCAUCCGUUAGGUUGUCAGCAUACGUCAAGGAACGCUCUACCAUCUUCCGCCCCUAGACCUCGUCCGUUCGUUUGUUGACCGAAGUGUAGGUACGUUUUUCCUUUUCCGACCUCUACGCGAACUCGCACCGGUUUUCGGUCUAUGGGGGCGUUAAGGUACUUGUGAGUUUACAAGUUCCUUCGUUUAAGUUUAUCUGUUUCCCUUCGUGUUCCGUUUUUCCGUUCCAGUUGUUUCACGUGAAUGGAGGAACUGGAUAGUUCCCUUGAUCGUCUCGAACGAGCCAUCCGUUCCUUUGUUUGGCCUCGUUCACUAGACUGUCGACCAACAUUUAGGCACUCUGUUCCUUCUCCGGCAUCUGCUCGGCUCGUAGCUAUUGUUGGUCGGCGAGGGGAUGUUAUUUGGUAGUCGAUUUGCUAGUUCCUUCGUUUAGGUUUACUUAUCUCUUUCGCUGACCGAUCUCUCUGUUCUGCUCGUUGUAUGUGUCUGUGACUUUCACGAAUCCAGUAGUGAGUAGCCAGGGUGGCUCACCUAAGCAGGCCAGAGUGGCUUCGCAACUUCAAGUUUGGAAAAUGUGAUCAGCCACGGGGACUCAAAAAAUAGACCAAGGUGGCUCAACACGUAUUUCCAUACAUUACCGAUCUAGAAACCACUACCGAUAUAUAAGGAGGUGGGUAGUGGAUGUGAGUCUCUCUCGUUGGUCCUACUUCGGUGGUGAAGGGUAUAGGUAAAAGACUCUCUCUUGGUGGAUGUAAACACAACUCUAGUUCCGUAAGGUGAGGUUGGUAAACUAGGAACUAAAGAUCGGGGGAGUUCAACGAAAGGUGAGGUUAGGAAGAGGGUGGUAGUACGGUUUAAACACUCUCUCACUGACUCACAACUCCUCUGGUAGAAAACUUCUUGUUUUCGUUCUUCAAGUAGUAGUUGUUGUUGUAGAUAAUGGAAAACUUCUCACCACAGAGGAUCUAACCAAUCCACAGUGAACACUCGGAGGUUUAGUACUCGACUUGGUUCCUCAAACAUUCCCGUUCCUCUAGCGGAUGAAGCAUUUCUAGAUGGGGCUCACUCCGAUCAGGAAGUACCCGCAUUCGGUACUACCUUAUCUAUUCCAAAAAAGAAGUACCUGGGAAGCACCCACCUCGGGAGACACCUGAGCGCGUCGGCAAUGGGAAGCACCUAACUUCAGAGGUAGUUGCACCUACAUCCUAUCGUGGUGGAUAGCCUUGGUGCGGUUUUUAGAGGCACAGAAGUAACGUAAACUAUAGAGGCUAGGGGAGGAAAUGCAAGUAUACGUUUCAUAAAUGAAAGGUGACGGAUGAUAGAUCUGAACGUACACAUCCCACAACGAACUGAACACACUUAGCGAUUUUGAACGAUUCUUGAUUUUAACCUUUUUCCGAUCCAAAAAUAAACCAGUUCAUCAGAUUAGUGGGGGAGAUCUGGAUGAAUGCUAUAUUCCGCGUCUGUUCCUCUUUUGUAUGUUUGGAAUCGUUCUGGUUGCGCUCACGUUAGUAUCGGAGAGGGUGCGUGACCGUCUGCACGCCGACGUACAACAGUACAGCCUCUCAUAGACGUACCUUCAGCGAGGGAAGCGCGACGUGGAGCGGGUUGUCCUCUGGUAGCCGAAUUAGUGGAGUUGGUCGACCGUCCUGCUGGUCCUGCUGGCUGCUUUCUCGAGUCUCUGGGGAGCAGGUAACGUUAAUCUCUUCUCGGUUUGCUCUCCUUCGGUGCUACGAAACCGUCUACACUCUGCCGCCCCUUCCUUCCUCGAUGCUGUGCUUCUAUUGGGGGCACACAACUUGGCUGUACUUCGUGUAUGGCUGUACGGGCCGGCCGUACGGGCCGGUUAUCUGAGUGGUUAUGCUCCGCAGUUGGGUUGUGUGACUUUCUGUCUCGGUCGGUUAUCGAGCUGGCGUUCUUUGUUGACUAAUUUGGUUUCCUGUACUCUACUCUCCUUGUUUCCUCCCGCCUCUCUACGAUUUUAUAGGGGUGUGCGAUUUGGCCCUAUACUUUGUGUCUGGUUGUA